CUUGCCUCAGUUGGAAUUAGUCCAGGGCAUUGGACCAGUGUUGAGUUCAUAGGUGAGCACCAGGUAGCUCAAACUGUGGGGCUCAGGUGGAAGCACUGGCAAACUUGAUGCCUGUGCCUGAAAUCCAUUCUCUCUGAAUGCCUUUCUGAUUUCCUACGGGGAGAGUUAAUAAGAAUGCCUUUCCUUUACUUAUUAAAAAGAUGAGGUACAAAUUAUAUGUGACUUAGACACUUUUCAUCAAAGACCACAAAGAAGAAGAAUUCAUUCUGGCCCUACCCUUUUGAGCUCAAGGUGUUAUUUCCAACUCUUCAAGGUCUAAAGGACACUUUAUAUUGCUUCAACAGAAAAAUCAGCCCACACUUUAGGUAAGCCUCU
Molecule: long non-coding RNA, 375 nt
Filed under: Homo sapiens (human)
Lineage: Eukaryota; Metazoa; Chordata; Mammalia; Primates; Hominidae
Description: HSALNT0086940
Source: RNAcentral